ACGAACGCUGGCGGCGUGCCUAAUACAUGCAAGUAGAGCGCUGAAGGAGGAGCUUGCUUCUCUGGAUGAGUUGCGAACGGGUGAGUAACGCGUAGGUAACCUGCCUGGUAGCGGGGGAUAACUAUUGGAAACGAUAGCUAAUACCGCAUAAUGGUAGAUGUUGCAUGACAUUUGCUUAAAAGGUGCAAUUGCAUCACUACCAGAUGGACCUGCGUUGUAUUAGCUAGUUGGUGGGGUAACGGCUCACCAAGGCGACGAUACAUAGCCGACCUGAGAGGGUGAUCGGCCACACUGGGACUGAGACACGGCCCAGACUCCUACGGGAGGCAGCAGUAGGGAAUCUUCGGCAAUGGACGGAAGUCUGACCGAGCAACGCCGCGUGAGUGAAGAAGGUUUUCGGAUCGUAAAGCUCUGUUGUAAGAGAAGAACGAGUGUGAGAGUGGAAAGUUCACACUGUGACGGUAUCUUACCAGAAAGGGACGGCUAACUACGUG
This 494-nucleotide ribosomal RNA is filed under the name uncultured bacterium. RNAcentral's name for it is "partial 16S ribosomal RNA". It matches the Rfam family "Bacterial small subunit ribosomal RNA", at positions 29 to 507 of the family's 1533-position model. The record is from RNAcentral.